CUUUAUCAAUCAAGUCAAACACAGCUGUUCUUAAAUGGUCAGUGGGAGUCUCUCCUGGAAAUCUGUCAUCAUCUAUUUCCGAAAACUCAGAAGGUGGUAUAACAUUCUGAAGUGCCUUGGGUUUCCUUGAUGGAGCCAUGAUGAACCAUGUUGCCAUCACAGUGGCCAAAAACCUGUUUAUCAUCUCAGCGAAUAGGAACAAGCUGAACAGACUUCUUGCUUUCAGUAUGGGUGCCCUGGUGAUGAACAGAGUUAAGAAACACAAUCUAGAACUAAGAAUGAAGGGACCUAGAUCAGUGGCAGUCCAAGAUAAAAGGGCAUACUGAAGAAAAGAAGAGCCUUCAUCCAGCAGCUGAUAGAAGUAGAA
RNAcentral lists this long non-coding RNA (367 nucleotides) under Cricetulus griseus (Chinese hamster). RNAcentral's name for it is "lncRNA (ENSCGRG00015039040.1)". Lineage: Eukaryota; Metazoa; Chordata; Mammalia; Rodentia; Cricetidae. The record is from RNAcentral.